UGCAGAUGAUGUCAACGAAUAUUUGCUAACUUAAUACUAAUGAUGACAAUCUUCCACCAAGAUCGCUGAUGCA
Molecule: small nucleolar RNA, 73 nt
Organism: Oryzias javanicus (javanese ricefish)
Lineage: Eukaryota; Metazoa; Chordata; Actinopteri; Beloniformes; Adrianichthyidae
Gene: SNORD24
Rfam family: Small nucleolar RNA SNORD24
About the family: U24 is a member of the C/D class of snoRNA which contain the C (UGAUGA) and D (CUGA) box motifs. C/D box snoRNAs have been shown to act as methylation guides for a number of RNA targets.
Source: Ensembl